Molecule: ribosomal RNA, 195 nt
Filed under: Triticum aestivum (bread wheat)
Lineage: Eukaryota; Viridiplantae; Streptophyta; Magnoliopsida; Poales; Poaceae
Description: partial small subunit ribosomal RNA
Source: RNAcentral
AUGGAAUGGAAGAUACCACUAAAGAUAAAGAUAUUCAUGUGGUAUCUUCACAGGGGAGUUGUGUCUACAAACGACAAACUCGCUUGCCGCAAUUGACAAGGACGUAGGAAGUGUAGUUUUUGUGCUCACGAUUUGACAAUCAAACACCUAUUCUUUCAAUGCAAAUAUGUGUGUUGUACAUGGUCAACCAUCUAA